Molecule: unclassified non-coding RNA, 545 nt
Filed under: Fusarium oxysporum
Lineage: Eukaryota; Fungi; Ascomycota; Sordariomycetes; Hypocreales; Nectriaceae
Description: sequence contains ITS1, 5.8S rRNA gene, ITS2, 28S rRNA gene
Source: RNAcentral
UUUCCUACUGAUCGAGGUCACAUUCAGAAGUUGGGGUUUAACGGCGUGGCCGCGACGAUUACCAGUAACGAGGGUUUUACUACUACGCUAUGGAAGCUCGACGUGACCGCCAAUCAAUUUGAGGAACGCGAAUUAACGCGAGUCCCAACACCAAGCUGUGCUUGAGGGUUGAAAUGACGCUCGAACAGGCAUGCCCGCCAGAAUACUGGCGGGCGCAAUGUGCGUUCAAAGAUUCGAUGAUUCACUGAAUUCUGCAAUUCACAUUACUUAUCGCAUUUUGCUGCGUUCUUCAUCGAUGCCAGAACCAAGAGAUCCGUUGUUGAAAGUUUUGAUUUAUUUAUGGUUUUACUCAGAAGUUACAUAUAGAAACAGAGUUUAGGGGUCCUCUGGCGGGCCGUCCCGUUUUACCGGGAGCGGGCUGAUCCGCCGAGGCAACAAGUGGUAUGUUCACAGGGGUUUGGGAGUUGUAAACUCGGUAAUGAUCCCUCCGCUGGUUCACCAACGGAGACCUUGUUACGACUUUUACUUCCUCUAAUUGACCAAGA